RNAcentral lists this ribosomal RNA (450 nucleotides) under uncultured bacterium. RNAcentral's name for it is "partial 16S ribosomal RNA". It matches the Rfam family "Bacterial small subunit ribosomal RNA", at positions 354 to 796 of the family's 1533-position model. The record is from RNAcentral.
GUGGGGAAUUUUGGACAAUGGGCGAAAGCCUGAUCCAGCAAUGCCGCAUGCAGGAAGAAGGCCUUCGGGUUGUAAACUGCUUUUGUACGGAACGAAACGGUCCGGGUUAAUACCCUGGGCUAAUGACGGUACCGUAAGAAUAAGCACAGGCUAACUACGUGCCAGCAGCCGCGGUAAUACGUAGGGUGCAAGCGUUAAUCGGAAUUACUGGGCGUAAAGCGUGCGCAGGCGGUUUUGUAAGACAGGCGUGAAAUCCCCGGGCUCAACCUGGGAAUUGCGCUUGUGACUGCAAGGCUGGAGUGCGGCAGAGGGGGAUGGAAUUCCGCGUGUAGCAGUGAAAUGCGUAGAUAUGCGGAGGAACACCGAUGGCGAAGGCAAUCCCCUGGGCCUGCACUGACGCUCAUGCACGAAAGCGUGGGGAGCAAACAGGAUUAGAUACCCGAGUAGUCC